GGGGCGGGGGCGCGGCGGGGCCGUCUACCUCGCUCGCUCCCUCUCUGCCUCCUUCCUCGCGCCUCGGCCCAACAUGGCGAUGCACAACAAGGCGGCGCCGCCGCAGAUCCCGGACACCCGGCGGGAACUGGCCGAGCUGGUGAAGCGCAAGCAGGAGCUGGCGGAGACGCUGGCAAACUUGGAGAGACAGAUCUAUGCUUUUGAAGGGAGCUACCUGGAAGACACCCAGAUGUAUGGCAAUAUUAUUCGGGGCUGGGACCGCUAUCUGACAAAUCAAAAAAACUCCAAUAGCAAAAAUGAUCGUAGGAACCGAAAAUUUAAGGAAGCCGAACGACUCUUCAGUAAAUCUUCAGUUACUUCAGCAGCGGCAGUCAGUGCAUUGGCUGGAGUUCAGGACCCACUCAUUGAAAAAAGGGAACCAGGCAGUGGUACAGAGAGUGACACAUCUCCAGACUUUCACAAUCAGGAGAAUGAACCCAGCCAAGAGGACACAGAGGAUUUGGAUGGAUCGGUGCAGGGGGUGAAACCCCAGAAGGCUGCUUCCUCCACCUCUUCAGGGAGUCAUCACAGCAGCCAUAAAAAGAGGAAGAAUAAAAACCGACACAGCCCGUCUGGCAUGUUUGAUUAUGACUUUGAGUAUGUAUAUUAGGUUAGGCUGGGAAGUUUUUUUAAAAAACAGAAAAACGUGAUGGAGGAUUGAUCUGAAGCUAAACAAAAAGCCAAGAGCCGAUUAUUAGAAGACCCAUUAAUACAGAAGCUUACAGGCUGUAGAGCCCUGCCCUCAUACAACUUCACCAAGAGAAACACCCCUCCACUGAGUGGCCAUUAAUGUCUGCACUCCCAGACCCAGUGCCUGCAUUGAGGAGUAGUUUGUUCUAAAGAGGGGUGAAAGAAAAGCCUUUCUGUAAAACCACAUCAGACCAUUUACCUCGUGUCAUUUUUAGUAACUGAACUGCAGGAAGACCAAGGCACGGUGCAGUCCUAGGUUGCCUACUUUCUGCAGUUCUCCAUUCUUGGGAUUGAGUACUUCCCAGCACUGGCUGCAUCAGAGUCUUCUGUGAUACCCAUUGAGAGAUGUCUUGGGUUUUUUUUGAUGCCGAAACCAGCGCCCAGUUGUGUUUUGUCGUAUGGAGGCUGUAAAUAUCAGGCAUUUCCUUAUUCUGCCUUACGUGUUGUUUGUUGUUACUGUCUUGUUUUCUUUGAGGGGUUUGUUGUAAUACAGUUGUACAGCUUAUGGCUUCCUGCUGUUUUCUUUGGAAUCUGAUUAUCUUUACUUGGCUUAGAGGCUGAUAUCCUAACACAAAUAAUCUCUAGUAGCAUAAAUAAAAUGGAUGACUUGUCCUAUUUGUCUUUUUGCAGGGGGAAGGUAGAGGGUUAUUUAAUUUUUUUCUCAUCUUCUGAAUUGGAAGCAAUUUUCAUGUACAGGCAAAUGGUAAUAGCUAAAAAACAUAAGUUCAAAUCCUUUUAGAACAUAAGUUUUUAUUAUUUUGUAUAAAAAAUAAAAUUUCACAGGCAUCAGUCUCUUCUCAUGCUUUACUUUUGCAUUUGAGAUUUUUUUCCCCAUUGAUUUUUAUUUUCCUCAUUUCAUACCAUACAGAAAAUAUCAGGUGUUUGACACUCAUCUCUCUUUUCAUCUUGUCUGUAAUCCUCCAACUGGCAUUUACUCCAUUCUAGAAAGAUCCAUUACUAAGCUUCUCUCUGUACCUUCAUAAGACAUAAGGAAGAAUUCAGGAAUUCCAUAGAAAAAUCACUUACAAAGUGGGAAAGCUAUUAUAGACUAAUUAACUGACUUAUCUUCCAUUUUAAGUUGGGAGGAGGGGAGGACUAACAGGUUGCUGAACCUGAAGAACCUACUGAAAACUGUUUAAAGGAACUUGGCAGUUUGAUGAUUGGACUUAAAGCAAAUGUUAGGGUUUAUUCAAAGGAACAAGACUUUGGGGUUGGUAUUUUGCUUUAUUCAUUUAUUGAUAGAUCUUACUUGUGUCCAUGUCUUUAUUGGGGAAAAUGUUUUAUUUGCUAAAUUCUUGAUAGAUCCACAAAUGCAGAAGUUUUUUUUGUUAAUGGGAUGAGGUUCCUGAAGAGAGGAUGCAGCAUCUUAUCAAAUCAACAAACCACCCCCCUCCCCCCAAACAGCACUGCAUCUGUGCUCUCAGACUUUUUGCCUCCUUAGGUAGGCUUUGGUUUGGUUAGCAAGAGUGCCUGCCUCUGAGCUGCCAGUGGAACAGUUAGAUGUUUGUGCCAGGAAGGAUGCUGGGAAGAAGAGGUAUCCCGAAGGAAAGCCCAGCAGCUGUCUCCUCGUCUAUCAUACUGGCCCUUUGUGCAGGGGAGAGGCCAGCACUAUUUCUCAUGUAUUAGUCAUUGGCUUCUGUGAUGUUUAACCUAGCACAUAGCAAACCGGUUAUAUCCCCAGCUCAUGAUUUGGACUUUGUUAGUGAUUUAGUGGCAGUGUACGUAAAAUAUACAUAUACAUAUAUAUUUAUAUUUAGUAUUCACUCUCCCCACCCACCCCCCACUAUAUGAACUGCUGCAUCAUUAUAAAGCCAACUGCUUUCAUUUGUGCUUCUAUCAAAGGGAUCAGUCCCAUAGAGACUUUUCGGGUUUUAGGUAGAUCUGACUUGGAGUCGUAUGCAGCAGUAUAAAAGAGGUUUUUUUGAAUUACAGGAUUUCUCCUGGGACACUUGGAAGAACUGCAUUUGGAGUAUUUGUCAUUUUUGGUUUAGACUAGGAAGUGCAGGACCAUUGCCUAACUUAAUAAGGAAUCCUAUCCAGUGUCAUCAUCGACCCAAAGAAAAACUUGGGGAAUGCAAUAGAACCUGGAGAGAGCAACUGGAACUCGUAGCAAGCAGGGCCUUGCAUAUAAAUAUUUGUUAGUGUGAUGUGAUUUGGAAGAUUGGUUACCCAAAACCUUCUCAGAUUUUGUCCUGGUUUUCUGGGUGCUCUGGGGUUCCCUCUGUUCUUGGCAGUAGUUGUUAAGGCCAAAAGUUAAAAUACUCAGAAGUACUACCACAAACUAUGGAAAAUCUCUUUUUAGUAGUACUGAUUCCUUGGGGGAAUUUGAGUUUCACUUAAGGACUCUGGUGGAUUUGUUGAGACAAUUGUCCUAAAUGGAUAGCAGUGAGUUGCUUUAUAAGAAGUGCUUAGAAAUCUGUAGGGUAUUAUGUAGAAGUCAGCUGCUAACUCCCCUUCCAUUUUACUCCCUUCUCCCCAUUUCCCCAAAGCCAAAUAGUAGAGGUGGGGAACUCUCCCUGUUCUUUAUUUUCUUCUUCACCUCAAGCUUUGCCUUAGGAAAAUACAUUUGUUCCUUCUUACCUCAUCUCCCACCCUGUAAGCUGGCUACAGUAGUAAUUUUGAGACAUAUCAAAGCAAAACAUUUCCAAGGACUUUGCUGGUAUACUUUUUGUUUCAUUAUUUAUAGGGGGAGGUGACAUUUGGCAGUCAUUAAAAUAUCUUCACCCAUUAAUGCCUUAUAUGGUGUAUUCUUGUGUAAUACAGGACUUGCCUUUGGUCCUUGGGGUUUGUGAGGUUCAACAUGAUGAGAAUUCAGAUAUAUAUGUCAUAGGAAGUUGGAACUGGGCAUUUUUCUGAACGGCAUUAAUUUCACCCUUAUAAACUGAAGAUUCCAAGCAGUGACCAGGAAAAGAAAGCAGUUAAGCCUACAGCAAAAGUGUUAGUCUAGACACAAUGUGUAAACUCAGGCGAGCAAAGGGGCUUUUCUCAAGGAGCUGAGCUAGGCAGGGAUAUUCAGACUGGUAGCUGGUCUAUGGGUCUUUGGGAAUCUUAUAAGUGCUUUAAAGAGUAGGUGAAAAUCAUUUGUAUAGUGAAACCUCAUUAGUACUAAGGGGGGUUGGGGUUCCAUGUAGCUAACCUGAACUAGGCAAUCUUGAAGGGCAGAUUCAUUACUUUGAAGUAUUUAACUGGCACAAGACUAAAGUGUUAAAGUAGAGAUCCUCUGGGACCCACUUUAAUGAGCAAAAAAGAAUGAUGUAUAGUUUUAUCUGUGUGUUUGAAAGGUUUCUCUUAUGCUGAUAAACAACCUUCUUAUUGUCUUUGCACCAUUUUCUUAGAAAGCCUUUUCUUCAGUAUUGUACAGAGCUAAAUUUCCAAUUCCCAUUUCAAGCCUAGAAUCCAAGAGGUGAGAGCUGGAAAGGACCUUUAGCGAUCAUGUGGGCCAGCUGCCUCAUUGAGCAGAUGAAGAAAGAGCCCUAGAAAGAGAAUGAGCGGCAGAUCCCGAACUAGAACCCAGGUCUCUUGGUUCCCUGUCCAGUGCUCUUCUUAUGAACUUUUAUUGUAUUGGAUGCUUGACUGAAGCUUGCUUUGGUCACGUCUUUGAAAAGAAAGGGUUUGCUAAGCAAAGGAAGUCAAUGAGAAGGCAGGAAGAAUGUUUAUUUGUGGAUUAAAGCAAAUAAUCAGGUAUAUCUUAAGCUCAAUAAGGAAAGUAGUUAAUAGUUUAAUAUUAGAUUCAGAAGUAAUGCCAACUCUUUUAAAAGGUUCUGUAAUUGGAUUUUGUAUUAAUUUACAGAUUUCUCCCCAUCACCACUUUAUUCCAUUCUCAUUUAGGAAGCUUGCUUAUGUGUGGCUUUUGUUCUGGUGAUGCCUUAGUUUAGGGGGUUUCCUGCUUUGGGUGGGAAGGGGAGGAGGGUUGGUCUUUUUUGUAAACACUUAUUUCUCCCCAAGAGGUGUCAUCCUAUUUGCAGUGCCUAGAAAUGCUCUGUGUGUGUGUGUGUGUGUGUGUGUGUGUGUGUGUGUGUGUGUGUGGCAGACACCCCUGGAAAUAAGAGAAAAGGAUUGGAACAGCCAUUCCUUCCAUUUGCUGUCAGAAUAAGUCGUAUUGAUGUCUUGGUUUUAUAGGUGAUGUUCUUCAUCAUUUGGAACAAAAUUGCGUGUGUUUUAACUUUGAUAAUCCUGCUCCUGUAGAAUAAAGGUUCUCUUUCACUCUCUGCAA
RNA transcript from Trichosurus vulpecula (common brushtail), 4942 nucleotides. It is a transcript of the gene named MYST/Esa1 associated factor 6, with no coding region annotated. The record is from RefSeq and is a predicted model, not a curated record. The transcript is spliced from 9 exons. NCBI's taxonomy places the organism in Eukaryota, Metazoa, Chordata, Mammalia, Diprotodontia, Phalangeridae.